GGGGGUGUAGCUCAGUUGGCUAGAGCGUCUGAUUUGCAAUCAGAAGGUCGUGGGUUCGACCCCCAUCACCUCCACCA
Molecule: transfer RNA, 77 nt
Filed under: Candidatus Altimarinota bacterium
Lineage: Bacteria; Candidatus Altimarinota
Description: tRNA-Ala
Rfam family: tRNA
About the family: Transfer RNA (tRNA) molecules are approximately 80 nucleotides in length.
Source: RNAcentral